This 2844-nucleotide unclassified non-coding RNA is filed under the name Pocillopora damicornis (cauliflower coral). RNAcentral's name for it is "potassium voltage-gated channel protein Shal-like, transcript variant X3". The record is from RNAcentral. Lineage: Eukaryota; Metazoa; Cnidaria; Anthozoa; Scleractinia; Pocilloporidae.
AGCACUUUAAGACACCUUUUUUAAGCAGAUGAACGUAAUUGACGAAUCUCCGAUGAAAACGAACGAGAGUGCGUCUACGCGAAGGGUCCACUGCGGCGAGCUUAUUAGGAGGGCGUAAAAGCCAAGUUGGCGAUUAGCAGAACCAAUGAAAUACUCUGUCAAAAAAGAAAGGAGACGUCUUUCUGUUCGAAGCUAAACAUAUGGUAAUUUUAAAGUUUUUGUUGUACUGUUUUCGAAUCAAUCGUUUUUGUAAUCGAACACGUGGCCGCCUUUUAUCUCAAAGAUCACAGAGAAGCUUGUUUGAAGAGGACUCGGUCUCGUAAACAGCACGUUCGAAACUGUGAUCCAACUGAACAGGUCAUAACACUGCUCUUGAAAAAAAAAACAAACAGUGCAUUUCAAGAAGAACUCCGACGCUGGAAGUAACUACGACAUGAUUUUAAACUGGCUUUAACUAAGACAAACGUUGAUGAUCUUGGUGUGGAAAUCCAUCAAUGUUUCACACAAGCGUUUCGGGUGCAUUAUAUAAGAAACAUCGUAUCUCUAACAAUAACAAAAACCAGCGAAAAUCAAUUUCCGAUUAUCCCAGAACUUCUAUUGGGUCUACAAACGACCGGCGGGUGAAAGGGUCAUUUGCUUCUACCAACGACAGGCGUUUGACGAUCAACGUGAGUGGAAUUAAGUUCCAAACGUGGCAAAGUACACUGUUGCGCUUUCCUGACUCUCUGUUAGGAAGCAUCGAUACGAUGCAGCAAUUCUACGACGCGCGACGGAAGGAGUAUUUUCUUGAUCGAGACCCAUAUCUGUUCAAGUUUGUACUGAAUUACUACCGUUACGGCAAGCUUCAUUGCUCGCAAGAAGACUGUCCCGCGGCUUUCGAGGAGGAAUUGCAAUUUUACGGGUUUUCAAUUUACGAUGUAAACAAUUGCUGCUGGGAUCAUUGCAGUCCAAAAGAGAAAGGAGUUCUCGUCGAAGGCGACAAUGACGAACUUAAGGGGGAAUAUUUAAAUUGCAACGGCAAUUUAUGCGACUUACAUUGCGAACCAAAACUCACUCUUAAGCAGAAGAUUUGGCGAACCAUAGGCCCUUCGAAGACGACUAAUACUGGAGUGAUAUUCCACAUAAUUUACGGGUUUUUCAUAUUUGUAAGUGUUUUAAUAGCUUCAUUGGAGACACUGCGUUGCGGGGAAACAUCGACGUGCGGAGAGGAACACCACCAAAUAUUCUUCACCAUUGAGUCAAUAUGUGUCAUCAUUUUCACAGCUGAGCUCUUGAUUAGGUUCUACGUUUGUCCGCAAAAGAAGAAAUUUAUGUUAGACGCAAUGAACGUAAUCGAUUUAUUAGCAAUAGUUCCUUACUAUUUAACUCUGGUAGUGGAAAGUUUUGGUGGGGAGACAAGUUUUCUGCAGAUACUUAAGGUGUUAAGAGUGAUUCGUAUUCUGAAACUCACCCGGAACUCUCGAAGACUUCGGUGCCUUUUGUUGACUUUACGGCGAUGUGCUGUCGACAUCGUCUUCCUCUACUGCAUCUGUUUCUUGGCGAUAAUCUUAUUUGGAACAGCGAUUUAUUAUUUAGAACUCGCGGAGGGGGAUCCGCAGUUUUCAAGUAUUCCAGAAUCAUUUUGGUACAUCUGUGUCACUCUCAUGACUGUGGGUUACGGGGACGUCGUGCCGUCAUCGAUUCUUGGUAAGAUAGUUGGUUCCAUUUGCUGUGUUUCUGGAGUAGUUUUACUUGCGUUGCCGAUUCCAAUCCUGCAAGAAAAACAAGUACCAUGCACGUUGGAAUCUGUGACAGCAAGAAGGAAGCGGAGGCCUGGUGAAAAGACAAAUGUGGAGUGCGCAACCUGUUUGGAGGAAAAGCGCUGUUCACUAAGGGAGAUCUUUAAAGAAAGAAAUUCUUUAAUUUCAUAUUAGAGAGAGCGAAAACAGCUAUAACGUGUACUCGAAACGUUAGCCAUACUAUAGAUAGAUUCCAUAUUGCCGUCCGUGGACAAACAAAAAAUCAAAUGAACAGAACAAUAGCUGAGCACGUGCACUUUAGAACUUUGUACAUUUAGUUUUGUACCUCAGCUUUGUACUUCGGCCAAACCUGUGUUGGACCCUCUCCUCAUUGUUUAAAGUUCCUUAGAAAUCACAUAGGACGUCGAAAUGUGGUAAAAACAUCAGUUUCCCUUUUCUGUUUUUAACCACAUUUUGACGUCAUCUGUGACCUGUUACUGACCAGACGCAGGGCAACAUGGGAUAUUUUUGUUCAAUAUACAACCAAGCUGAAAAGCUGGCUAAAGCUAAGAGGAGAUUUGCGUUAAUUACUUAAAGCAUUCGCCAAAUAAUCGGGUAACGUCAAAACCAGGGAACCCUUGAGAGAAGUAAUGGUCAUGACUUUGACCAACCAACUGGAAAGCUAGUUUAAGCUUUCUGAGGAAAACCAUAGAGAAAAGCACCAGGGAAAAGAACCAGUUAGUAAAGAUGUCACACAGAAUUAUACAAAACCGCAGGUGGAAAGGGGCGAGUUGGAAGUGGGGCGAGGGGGAGUUGGAGAGGGGCGAGUUGGAAGUGAGGCGGGGAGGGUGCUAAAAGGCGAAUGUGUACUUCAAUUGGAUUAAUUUGAUUAAUUACUUCAUUUAAGUGUUUAAGUUUCGAGUUUCGCGCUGAAGAGGGAUUGAUUAACAACCGCCUAGAUGAAUACAAAUGUUCUGGGAAAUUGUGGAAUAAAACAGCUCUUGGAGCAACAGGCUGGAAAAAUGCUCUUUCAGACACCUUCCCUUUCUCAUUUCUUUGAGUAUCAGGCAGCAGUGAGAACAGAGUAUGCAAUGGUAGCGGUGGUGGGCCAGUGAAAAAGGGGGAG